AGUGAACGCUGGCGGUAGGCCUAACACAUGCAAGUCGAACGGCAGCACAGUAAGAGCUUGCUCUUACGGGUGGCGAGUGGUGGACGGGUGAGGAAUACAUCGGAAUCUACUUUUUCGUGGGGGCUAACGUAGGGAAACUUACCCUAAUACCGCAUACGACCUACGGGUGAAAGCAGGGGAUCUUCGGACCUUGCGCGAUUGAAUGAGCCGAUGUCGGAUUAGCUAGUUGGCGGGGUAAAGGCCCACCAAGGCGACGAUCCGUAGCUGGUCUGAGAGGAUGAUCAGCCACACUGGAGCUGAGACACGGUCCAGACUCCUACGGGAGGCAGCAGUGGGGAAUAUUGGACAAUGGGCGCAAGCCUGAUCCAACCAUGCCGCGUGGGUGAAGAAGGCCUUCGGAUUGUAAAGCCCUUCUGUUGGGAGAGAAGAGCAGCAAGUUAAUACCCCGCUGUUCUGACGGUACCUAAAGAAUAAGCACCGGGUAACUUCGUG
Molecule: ribosomal RNA, 492 nt
Filed under: uncultured bacterium
Lineage: Bacteria
Description: partial 16S ribosomal RNA
Rfam family: Bacterial small subunit ribosomal RNA
Source: RNAcentral